AUUGAACGCUGGCGGCGUGCCUAACACAUGCAAGUCGAGCGGUAACAGGUGUAGCAAUACAUGCUGACGAGCGGCGGACGGGUGAGUAACGCGUGGGAACAUACCCCUCGGUUCGGAAUAACUCAGGGAAACUUGAGCUAAUACCGGAUACGUCCGAUGUUUUAAUCGACCUUGGAGAAAGAUUUAUCGCCGGAGGAUUGGCCCGCGUCUGAUUAGCUUGUUGGUGAGGAAUGGCUCACCAAGGCGACGAUCAGUAGCUGGUCUGAGAGGAUGAUCAGCCACAUUGGGACUGAGACACGGCCCAAACUCCUACGGGAGGCAGCAGUGGGGAAUAUUGGACAAUGGGCGAAAGCCUGACGCAGCAACGCCGCGUGGGGG
This 378-nucleotide ribosomal RNA is filed under the name uncultured bacterium. RNAcentral's name for it is "bacterial SSU rRNA". It matches the Rfam family "Bacterial small subunit ribosomal RNA", at positions 30 to 407 of the family's 1533-position model. The record is from RNAcentral.